This is a long non-coding RNA of Nothoprocta perdicaria, 411 nucleotides long. RefSeq lists it as uncharacterized. NCBI's taxonomy places the organism in Eukaryota, Metazoa, Chordata, Aves, Tinamiformes, Tinamidae. The record is from RefSeq and is a predicted model, not a curated record. The transcript has 3 exons.
GAUGGGAAGGAACGUUUUGUGAAUAUGAAUCAAAUGAAUGUAUUUCAGAGCCUUGUAAAAAUAAUGGCACCUGUACAGAUCUUUUCAACAGCUAUCGCUGCACAUGUGCACCAGGCUGGACAGGGCCAGACUGCAGCGAAGAUAUAAAUGAAUGUGAUGCAGAACCGUGCCUGAACGGAGCCACCUGUUAUGAGUCUGUUAUCCAGGGGCAGUUUGGGUGCAUUUGUCCUCCAUUCUUUACGGGGGACUUGUGCCAUCAGCGCUUCAAUCCCUGCGACCUGCCCUACAAUCCCUGUGUAAACAACUCAACCUGCCUGGCGCAAGCUGAUGGAAAGCCACGGUGCGUUUGCAAAGCAGGAUUUGAAGGCACUAACUGUGAAGUUAACACUGAUGAGUGUGCCUCCCAUCCGU